RNAcentral lists this ribosomal RNA (1372 nucleotides) under uncultured bacterium. Its description in RNAcentral is "bacterial SSU rRNA". It matches the Rfam family "Bacterial small subunit ribosomal RNA", at positions 28 to 1381 of the family's 1533-position model. The record is from RNAcentral.
GAUGAACGCUGGCGGCGUGCCUAAUACAUGCAAGUCGAGCGAACGGACGAGAAGCUUGCUUCUCUGAUGUUAGCGGCGGACGGGUGAGUAACACGUGGAUAACCUACCUAUAAGACUGGGAUAACUUCGGGAAACCGGAGCUAAUACCGGAUAAUAUUUUGAACCGCAUGGUUCAAAAGUGAAAGACGGUCUUGCUGUCACUUAUAGAUGGAUCCGCGCUGCAUUAGCUAGUUGGUAAGGUAACGGCUUACCAAGGCAACGAUGCAUAGCCGACCUGAGAGGGUGAUCGGCCACACUGGAACUGAGACACGGUCCAGACUCCUACGGGAGGCAGCAGUAGGGAAUCUUCCGCAAUGGGCGAAAGCCUGACGGAGCAACGCCGCGUGAGUGAUGAAGGUCUUCGGAUCGUAAAACUCUGUUAUUAGGGAAGAACAUAUGUGUAAGUAACUGUGCACAUCUUGACGGUACCUAAUCAGAGAGCCACGGCUAACUACGUGCCAGCAGCCGCGGUAAUACGUAGGUGGCAAGCGUUAUCCGGAAUUAUUGGGCGUAAAGCGCGCGUAGGCGGUUUUUUAAGUCUGAUGUGAAAGCCCACGGCUCAACCGUGGAGGGUCAUUGGAAACUGGAAAACUUGAGUGCAGAAGAGGAAAGUGGAAUUCCAUGUGUAGCGGUGAAAUGCGCAGAGAUAUGGAGGAACACCAGUGGCGAAGGCGACUUUCUGGUCUGUAACUGACGCUGAUGUGCGAAAGCGUGGGGAUCAAACAGGAUUAGAUACCCUGGUAGUCCACGCCGUAAACGAUGAGUGCUAAGUGUUAGGGGGUUUCCGCCCCUUAGUGCCGCAGCUAACGCAUUAAGCACUCCGCCUGGGGAGUACGACCGCAAGGUUGAAACUCAAAGGAAUUGACGGGGACCCGCACAAGCGGUGGAGCAUGUGGUUUAAUUCGAAGCAACGCGAAGAACCUUACCAAAUCUUGACAUCCUUUGACAACUCUAGAGAUAGAGCCUUCCCCUUCGGGAGACAAAGUGACAGGUGGUGCAUGGUUGUCGUCAGCUCGUGUCGUGAGAUGUUGGGUUAAGUCCCGCAACGAGCGCAACCCUUAAGCUUAGUUGCCAUCAUUAAGUUGGGCACUCUAAGUUGACUGCCGGUGACAAACCGGAGGAAGGUGGGGAUGACGUCAAAUCAUCAUGCCCCUUAUGAUUUGGGCUACACACGUGCUACAAUGGACAAUACAAAGGGCAGCGAAACCGCGAGGUCAAGCAAAUCCCAUAAAGUUGUUCUCAGUUCGGAUUGUAGUCUGCAACUCGACUACAUGAAGCUGGAAUCGCUAGUAAUCGUAGAUCAGCAUGCUACGGUGAAUACGUUCCCGGGUCU